This is a non-coding RNA of Salvelinus sp. IW2-2015, 450 nucleotides long. NCBI's taxonomy places the organism in Eukaryota, Metazoa, Chordata, Actinopteri, Salmoniformes, Salmonidae. The record is from RefSeq and is a predicted model, not a curated record.
GAGACCUGCAGACCCCUGUUCAACAUCGACUGCCCUCAGAAGUCUGUCUAUCAACUAUACCUCCCACACUGUCAGAUUCAUUCUUGUGGUGGAUGUGACUUCCUGUCUGUAGCCCAUGUGACUGAUGAUGACAUCAUUGAGUUUCUCCCUCCCCAUGAGAUAACAGACACACAUGUCAUAAUAAGCAUCACUGGAUUCUCUGCUUAUGGUGAUGUCACAGAUGAGGAUGCUCRCAUCUCCCCCAUACUUGCACAUGUGUUGUUAUUCUACCAACCACUUGGCAAGAGGUCCAUCCUGAAUGUGUUGUUGCUUCCCAGUAAUGUUGUGAGAAAAGAGGUGCGGGAGUUGAUUGAAAGGGAUGGAAUAAGAGAAAUUCUAACAACUUCUCUGUGUACACUUACCCCAAAGCAAGAAUACACCCUCUCCACUAACCCUGCAGAUGCACAUCCA